RNAcentral lists this unclassified non-coding RNA (343 nucleotides) under soil metagenome. RNAcentral describes it as "partial contains 5.8S ribosomal RNA, internal transcribed spacer 2, and large subunit ribosomal RNA". The stretch from base 1 to 120 matches the Rfam family "5.8S ribosomal RNA", at positions 35 to 154 of the family's 154-position model. The record is from RNAcentral.
GAUGAAGAACGUAGCGAAACGCGAUAAGUAAUGUGAAUUGCAGAAUCCAGUGAAUCAUCGAAUCUUUGAACGCACAUUGCGCCCGCCAGCAUUCUGGCGGGCAUGCCUGUUCGAGCGCCAUUUCAACCCUCGACCUCCCCUUGGGGAGGUCGGCGUUGGGGACCGGCAGCACACCGCCGGCCCUGAAAUGGAGUGGCGGCCCGUCCGCGGCGACCUCUGCGCAGUAAUACAGCUCGCACCGGGACCCCGACGCGGCCACGCCGUAAAACACCCAACUUCUGAACGUUGACCUCGAAUCAGGUAGGACUACCCGCUGAACUUAAGCAUAUCAAUAAGCGGAGGA